RNAcentral lists this ribosomal RNA (253 nucleotides) under uncultured bacterium. RNAcentral's name for it is "partial 16S ribosomal RNA". It matches the Rfam family "Bacterial small subunit ribosomal RNA", at positions 524 to 776 of the family's 1533-position model. The record is from RNAcentral.
UACGUAGGUGGCAAGCGUUGUCCGGAUUUACUGGGCGUAAAGAGCGCGCAGGCGGUCGUAUAAGUCGAAUGUGAAAGCCCCCGGCUCAACUGGGGAGGGUCAUUCGAUACUGUUCGACUCGAAGGCAGGAGAGGGAAGUGGAAUUCCCGGUGUAGUGGUGAAAUGCGUAGAUAUCGGGAGGAACACCAGUGGCGAAGGCGACUACCUGGCCUGUUCUUGACGCUGAGGCGCGAAAGCUAGGGGAGCAAACGGG